UACGGAGGGUGCGAGCGUUGUCCGGAAUUAUUGGGCGUAAAGAGCUCGUAGGCGGCUUGUCACGUCGGGUGUGAAAGACCGGGGCUUAACCCCGGUUCUGCAUUCGAUACGGGCUGGCUAGAGUGUGGUAGGGGAGAUCGGAAUUCCUGGUGUAGCGGUGAAAUGCGCAGAUAUCAGGAGGAACACCGGUGGCGAAGGCGGAUCUCUGGGCCAUUACUGACGCUGAGGAGCGAAAGCGUGGGGAGCGAACAGG
This 253-nucleotide ribosomal RNA is filed under the name uncultured bacterium. RNAcentral's name for it is "partial 16S ribosomal RNA". It matches the Rfam family "Bacterial small subunit ribosomal RNA", at positions 524 to 776 of the family's 1533-position model. The record is from RNAcentral.